CGUUAAGGCAUGAUGGCCUGUACCCGAAACCGACACAGGUGGGGUGGUAGAGAAUACCGAGGGGCGCGAGAUAACUCUCUCUAAGGAACUCGGCAAAAUGGCCCCGUAACUUCGGGAGAAGGGGUGCCACCGCAAGGUGGUCGCAGUGAAGAGGCCCAGGCGACUGUUUACCAAAAACACAGGUCUCCGCUAAGUCGCAAGACGAUGUAUGGGGGCUGACGCCUGCCCAGUGCCGGAAGGUUAAGGAAGCUGGUCAGCGUAAGCGAAGCUAGCGACUGAAGCCCCGGUGAACGGCGGCCGUAACAAUAACGGUCCUAAGGUAGCGAAAUUCCUUGUCGGGUAAGUUCCGACCCGCACGAAAGGCGUAACGAUCUGGGCGCUGUCUCGGAGAGAGGCUCGGCGAAAUAGAAUUGUCUGUGAAGAUGCGGACUACGUGCACCCGGACAGAAAGACCCUAUGAAGCUUUACUGUAGCUUGGUAUUGUGCUCGGGCUCGGAAUGCGCAGGAUAGGUGGGAGGCUAUGAACCAUUGCUUGUGGGUGAUGGUGAGCCACUGGUGAGAUACCACUCUUUCCGAGCUAGAGUUCUAACAGCCACCCGUUAUCCGGGGGCUGGACAGUAUCAGGUGGGCAGUUUGACUGGGGCGGUCGCCUCCUAAAAGGUAACGGAGGCGCGCAAAGGUUUGCUCAGGCUGGUUGGAAAUCAGCCGACGAGUGUAAAAGCAGAAGCAAGCUUGACUGUGAGACCUACAAGUCGAACAGGGAGGAAACUCGGCUUUAGUGAUCCGACGGUUCUGCGUGGAAGGGCCGUCGCUCAACGGAUAAAAGUUACUCUAGGAUAACAGGCUGAUCUCCCCCAAGAGUUCACAUCGACGGGGAGGUUUGGCACCUCGAUGUCGGCUCAUCGCAACCUGGGGCUGAAGUCGGUCCCAAGGGUUGGGCUGUUCGCCCAUUAAAGCGGUACGCGAGCUGGGUUCAGAACGUCGUGAGACAGUUCGGUCCAUAUCCGGUGCAUGCGCAGGAAUAUUGAGAGGAUUUCUCCCUAGUACGAGAGGACCGGGAGGAACGCACCUCUGGUGUACCAGUUAUCGUGCCAACGGUAAACGCUGGGUAGCCAUGUGCGGAGAGGAUAACCGCUGAAAGCAUCUAAGUGGGAAGCCCACCUCAAGAUGAGUAUUCCCAUGGGGUAACCCAGUAAGGUCACGGGAAGAACACCCGUUGAUAGGCUCUACGUGGAAGCGCAGUAAUGUGUGAAGCGGAGGAGUACUAAUAGACCGAGGGCUUGACC
This 1286-nucleotide ribosomal RNA is filed under the name metagenome. RNAcentral's name for it is "bacterial LSU rRNA". It matches the Rfam family "Bacterial large subunit ribosomal RNA", at positions 1625 to 2925 of the family's 2925-position model. The record is from RNAcentral.